This 1082-nucleotide long non-coding RNA is filed under the name Ursus americanus (American black bear). RNAcentral describes it as "lncRNA (ENSUAMG00000016883.1)". Lineage: Eukaryota; Metazoa; Chordata; Mammalia; Carnivora; Ursidae. The record is from RNAcentral.
UAAGGAAGAAAUUGGGUAUCGUGAUGGAUUUCUCUGAACGAAGAAAAGUGGCUGCCGAAGAGAAGCUGGAAAAGACACUUUAUGAACUGGAGGCAACAAAGAAUCAGCUGUCAGAUGCCGAGGAAAAUCUGAAAGUAAUCAAAGAAGAAAUGGACAAGUACAAACAACAGAUCGGAAAGAUGCAAGACCAGCUGCAGGAGGCAGAGCUCACCUUUGAACGCAAGGUAACCUGAGCUGUGCCCCAACAGGCCCCUUAGCGCCUCCUGCAGGGGACGGAAGUGGCCCUUAGAUCCCUGAACAUGCGCUUUUGGUGUGUUGGCUUUUUCAGAUUGCAGUUUAUGAAAAGAAUGCUGUAGGGAAUUGGGUAAGUGUUUUCUUUUCCCUGCUCUCCAUUUGGGGCACAGUCUGGCACAACUGAAGAUGGGUGGGUUUUUCUCCCGCAGAUCAAGGCUCGGGUUUGGGAGCGGAAGAUACAGCAGCAGAGAAGGGAGAACGCCUACAUGAUACACAGACUGCGCAUGAUGGAAGGAGAGAUGCUGCCUGAGGGAUGCAUGAGGCAGGAAGCGAUGCUGGGAAGACCUGAGAUGUGGAGCCCUCCACGGAGAGGGCAUUGGUCUGAUGCUGAACCUGGUGGGGCUCCCAUAAGGAACAACGGCACUGAGCCUAAUAGAGACCCUGGGAUGUACAAGUUAACUACUGUGGACUUUUCCACUUUUUUCAGAAACUUCCACUUUUGAGCAACACCCUGUCCUGGCCUUGCGUCUAUUGGGUGGGUCGUCCAGUUUGUCUGUGGCGUCAUUCACCUCUCAAAAUACAAGCAGUUCACACAGGGGCUGACAGGCUUCUCCAUUACAAAUCGUCAUCUUUGGGGGCCUCUCCCGAAGCCACAGGUGGUUAGAGGUGAAGGAUGGCAGAACACUCACUGUGUGUGUGUGUGUGUGUGUGUGUGUGUGUGUGUGUGUGUGUGUGUGUGUACCCCUGCUCACCCAUAGCGCACAAGGGGGAAAUAACUCAAGGAAGAUGACAGCUCACUGCACACUGAAGUCUCUGGGCUGCCUGACUCCCAUUGGGGUAGGUUUAGG